Long non-coding RNA from Chelonoidis abingdonii (Abingdon island giant tortoise), 606 nucleotides. RefSeq lists it as uncharacterized. The record is from RefSeq and is a predicted model, not a curated record. Lineage: Eukaryota; Metazoa; Chordata; Testudines; Testudinidae.
CUGCAGGCAGGGGCAGUGCGCAGAGCUGGCUGGCUGCCCGUGAGCCUAGGAGGUGGACAUGCUGGCCCCUUCCGGGAGCCUCCCAAGGUCAUUUCUAAUCUCGUGAACCAUUGACCAACCAUGCUUUGAGGCAAAGAACUCCGAUCUUGGGGUGAAGGAUCUUCCCACAUUCCUGAGAGAGAAGAUGAGGAGCUACCUGGAGAGUGAUUGUAGGACUUUGGAUAUUAGAGGAGUUGAAGGGAAUGCAUACAGUAGACCUGAUGACCACUGAAGGUGAAUGGCAUCCCCCAAGGAUCAGUGGUUCAGCCUGCCUCCAGAGCAGAACUGGGUGCCCCAUUGCCGGAAUAGUGAUGAAGUAUGAUGAGGUCUAUCUCCCACUCAUGGUCUCGAGAGAAGUGCCUGCUGAGUGUGUCUGCCAUCACAUUCUGAACUCCUGGGAGGUAAGUUGCUGUGAUGAUGAUCUGAUUGUGUAUGCAUCAAUUCCAAAGUUUGACAGUCUUAGCUCAAAGGGUGGGGAAUCUUGCCUCUCCUUGCUGGUUGAUAUGGGACAUGCAUGACAUGUUGUCCAUCGUGACUUUUAUGUGUUUGCCCCUGAUUACUGGUAAA